GACGAACGCUGGCGGCGUGCUUAACACAUGCAAGUCGAACGGAAAGGCCCUGCUUUUGUGGGGUGCUCGAGUGGCGAACGGGUGAGUAACACGUGAGUAACCUGCCCUUGACUUUGGGAUAACUUCAGGAAACUGGGGCUAAUACCGGAUAGGAGCUCCUGCUGCAUGGUGGGGGUUGGAAAGUUUCGGCGGUUGGGGAUGGACUCGCGGCUUAUCAGCUUGUUGGUGGGGUAGUGGCUUACCAAGGCUUUGACGGGUAGCCGGCCUGAGAGGGUGACCGGCCACAUUGGGACUGAGAUACGGCCCAGACUCCUACGGGAGGCAGCAGUGGGGAAUAUUGCACAAUGGGCGGAAGCCUGAUGCAGCAACGCCGCGUGCGGGAUGACGGCCUUCGGGUUGUAAACCGCUUUCGCCUGUGACGAAGCGUGAGUGACGGUAAUGGGUAAAGAAGCACCGGCUAACUACGUGCCAGCAGCCGCGGUGAUACGUAGGGUGCGAGCGUUGUCCGGAUUUAUUGGGCGUAAAGGGCUCGUAGGUGGUUGAUCGCGUCGGAAGUGUAAUCUUGGGGCUUAACCCUGAGCGUGCUUUCGAUACGGGUUGACUUGAGGAAGGUAGGGGAGAAUGGAAUUCCUGGUGGAGCGGUGGAAUGCGCAGAUAUCAGGAGGAACACCAGUGGCGAAGGCGGUUCUCUGGGCCUUUCCUGACGCUGAGGAGCGAAAGCGUGGGGAGCGAACAGGCUUAGAUACCCUGGUAGUCCACGCUGUAAACGGUGGGUACUAGGUGUGGGGUCCAUUCCACGGGUUCCGUGCCGUAGCUAACGCUUUAAGUACCCCGCCUGGGGAGUACGGCCGCAAGGCUAAAACUCAAAGGAAUUGACGGGGCCCCGCACAAGCGGCGGAGCAUGCGGAUUAAUUCGAUGCAACGCGUAGAACCUUACCUGGGUUUGACAUGGAUCGGGAGUGCUCAGAGAUGGGUGUGCCUCUUUUGGGGUCGGUUCACAGGUGGUGCAUGGCUGUCGUCAGCUCGUGUCGUGAGAUGUUGGGUUAAGUCCCGCAACGAGCGCAACCCUUGUUCACUGUUGCCAGCACGUUAUGGUGGGGACUCAGUGGAGACCGCCGGGGUCAACUCGGAGGAAGGUGGGGAUGACGUCAAGUCAUCAUGCCCCUUAUGUCCAGGGCUUCACGCAUGCUACAAUGGCUGGUACAGAGAGUGGCGAGCCUGUGAGGGUGAGCGAAUCUCGGAAAGCCGGUCUCAGUUCGGAUUGGGGUCUGCAACUCGACCUCAUGAAGUCGGAGUCGCUAGUAAUCGCAGAUCAGCAACGCUGCGGUGAAUACGUUCCCGGGGCUUGUACACACCGCCCGUCAAGUCAUGAAAGUUGGUAACACCCGAAGCCGGUGGCCUAACCGUUGUGGAGGAGCCGUCGAAGGUGGGACUGG
Molecule: ribosomal RNA, 1436 nt
Filed under: uncultured organism
Description: 16S ribosomal RNA
Rfam family: Bacterial small subunit ribosomal RNA
Source: RNAcentral